Long non-coding RNA from Orcinus orca (killer whale), 1599 nucleotides. RefSeq lists it as uncharacterized. The record is from RefSeq and is a predicted model, not a curated record. The transcript is spliced from 2 exons. NCBI's taxonomy places the organism in Eukaryota, Metazoa, Chordata, Mammalia, Artiodactyla, Delphinidae.
UUGGAUUGAUCCCUUGAUCAUUAUGCAGUGUCCUUCCUUGUCUCUUGUAACAGUCUUUAUUUUAAAGUCUAUUUUGUCUGAUAUGAGUAUUGCUACUCCAGCUUUCUUUGGAUUUCCAUUUGUAUAGAAUAUCUUUUUUCAUCCCCUCACUUUCAGACUGUAUGUGUCCCUAGGUCUGAAGUGGGUCUCUUGUAGACAGCAUGUAUAUGGGUCUUGCUUUUGUAUCUAUUGAGCCGGUCUGUGUCUCUUGGUUGGAACAUUCAGUCCAUCAACAUUUAAGGUAAUUAUCGAUAUGUAUGUUCCUAUUACCAUUUUUUUUUUCCUAUUACCAUUUUAUUAAUUGUUUUUGGUUUGUUUUUGUGGGUCUUUUUCUUCUUCUGUGUUUCCCACCUAGAGAAGUUCCUUUAGCAUUUGUUGUAAAGCUGGAAUGGUGGUGCUGAAUUCUCUUAGCUUUUGCUUGUCUGUAAAGCUUUUUAUUACCUUGUUGAAUCUGAAUGAGAUCCUUGCUGGGUAGAGUAAUCUUGGUUGUAGGUUUUCCCCUUUCAUCACUGCCACUCCCUUCUGGCCUGCAGAGUUUCUGCUGAAAAAUCAGCUGAUAACCUUAUGGGGAUUCCCUUGUAUGUUAUUUGUUGCUUUUCCCUUGUUGCUUUUAAUAUUUUUUCUUUGAAUUUAAUUUUUGUUAGUUGAUUAAUAUGUGUCUUGGUGUGUUUUUCCUAGGGCUUAUCCUGUAUGGAGCUCUCUGUGCUUCCUGGACUUGGAUGACUAUUUCCUUUCCCAUGUGAGGGAAGUUUUCAAGUAUAAUCUCUUUAAAUAUUUUCUCAGACCCUUUCUUUUUCUCUUCUUCUGGGACCCCUAUAAUUUGAAUGUUGGUGUGUUUAGUAUUGUCCCAGAGGUCUCUGAGAUUGUCUUCAAUUCUUUUCAUUCUUUUUUCUUUAUUCUGCUCCUUGGCAGUUAUUUCUACCACUAUGUCUUCCAGCUCACUUGUUCGUUCUUCUGCCUCAGUUAUUGUUACUGAUUCCUUCUAGUGUAUUUUUCAUUUCAGUUAUUAUGUUGUUCAUCUCUGUUUUUUAUUCCUUAGUUCUAGAUCUUUGUUAAACAUUUCUUGUAUUUUGUCCAUCUGUGCCUCCAUUCUAUUUCUGAGAUUCUGGAUCAUCUUUGCUAUUAUUACUCUGAAUUCUUUUUCAGGUAGAUUGCUUAUUUCCUCUUCAUUUAUUUGGUCUUGUAGGUUUUUACCUUGCUCCUUCAUCUGUGACAUAUUUUUUACCAUCUCAUUGUUUUUUCUUUUAAUGUGUGGGAUUGUGUUCCUGUCCUACUGGUUGGUUGACCUGAGGCUUCCAACACUGGAGUUUGUAGGCUGUUGGGUAGAGCUGGGUCUUGGUGCUGAGGUGAGGAACUCCGUGAGACCUCACUCUGAUGAAUAUUCCUUGGGGUCUGAGGUUCUCUGUUAGUCCAGUGGUUCAGACUCAGUGUUCCCACCACAGGAGCAUCACCCCAACCCGAGGCUCAUGACAAGAUCCCACAAGCUGCCUGGGGUGGCAAAAAAAAAAAAAAAAAAAAAAAGAACAAUAACAAAGUAAAAAAUAAAAUUAAACUAAGAAA